This 1542-nucleotide unclassified non-coding RNA is filed under the name uncultured fungus. RNAcentral describes it as "sequence contains 18S rRNA gene, ITS1, 5.8S rRNA gene, ITS2, 28S rRNA gene". The stretch from base 566 to 1542 matches the Rfam family "Eukaryotic large subunit ribosomal RNA", at positions 1 to 961 of the family's 3401-position model. The record is from RNAcentral. Lineage: Eukaryota; Fungi.
GGAAGGAUCAUUACUGAAAUUACAUGAUAAAGCUGUUGCUGGCCACUCGCUGUGCACGCUUGUCAUUCUCACAUCCACUUGUGCACCAUUUGUAGACAUUUUAGUGUAUCUGAGCCCCUUGGCUCAGAUGAUUGGGGGACUGCUUAGCUUUCCCUGUGAUCUGUCUAUGACCAUUUUUCAUACACAGCUAGUAUUGAUGUCUUGUAAUCAUGACAAAUAUACAACUUUCAGCAACGGAUCUCUUGGCUCUCGCAUCGAUGAAGAACGCAGCGAAAUGCGAUAAGUAAUGUGAAUUGCAGAAUUCAGUGAAUCAUCGAAUCUUUGAACGCAACUUGCGCUCCUUGGUAUUCCGAGGAGCAUGCCUGUUUGAGGGUCAUUAUUAUCUCAACUCCUAUAGCUUUUUUGUUAUGGACAGUUGGAUUUGGAGGAUUUGUGCAGGCAAAUUGGUCUGCUCCUCUGAAAUGCAUUGGCAGCAUUUGCGUGAAGGGGGGAGACCUGCUUUGGAUGUGAUAAUUAUCUGCAUUCAAUGGAACUUCACCUGGCUGAUAUUAAACGCUCAUUUGCUUGACCUCAAAUCAGGUAGGACUACCCGCUGAACUUAAGCAUAUCAAUAAGCGGAGGAAAAGAAACUAACAAGGAUUCCCUUAGUAACUGCGAGUGAAGUGGGAAGAGCUCAAAUUUGUAAUCUGGCAGCUCUAUAGUUGUCCGAAUUGUAAUCUGGAGAAGUGUUGCCUGUGCUGGACCAUGUACAAGUCUCCUGGAAUGGAGCAUCAUAGAGGGUGAGAAUCCCGUCUUUGACAUGGACUCCCAGGACUUUAAUGGUACGCUCUCAAAGAGUCGAGUUGUUUGGGAAUGCAGCUCAAAAUGGGUGGUAAAUGCCAUCUAAAGCUAAAUACUGGCGAGAGACCGAUAGCGAACAAGUACCGUGAGGGAAAGAUGAAAAGAACUUUGGAAAGAGAGUUAAACAGUACGUGAAAUUGCUGAAAGGGAAACGCUUGAAGUCAGUCACACCAUUUGGAAAUCAACCUUUGCUUUUGCUUGGUGUACUUUCUAUCUGGUGGGUCAGCAUCAAUUUUGGCUGCUGGAUAAAGUUCUUGGGAAUGUAGCAUCUUAGGAUGUGUUAUAGCUCUUGGACGCAUACAGCAGUUGGGAUUGAGGAACUCAGCACGCCACAUUGGCUGGGCUUGUCCACAUAACGUGCUUAGGAUGCUGGCAUAAUGGCUUUAAUCGACCCGUCUUGAAACACGGACCAAGGAGUCUAACAUGCCUGCAAGUGUUUGGGUGGAAAACCCAUGCGCGUAAUGAAAGUGAUGGUUGAGAUCCCUGUCAUGGGGAGCACCGACGCCCAGACCAGACCUUUUGUGACGGAUCUGCGGUAGAGCAUGUAUGUUGGGACCCGAAAGAUGGUGAACUAUGCCUGAAUAGGGUGAAGCCAGAGGAAACUCUGGUGGAGGCUCGUAGCGAUUCUGACGUGCAAAUCGAUCGUCAAAUUUGGGUAUAGGGGCGAAAGACUAAUCGAACCAUCUAGUAGCUGGUUCCUGC